AAUUGGUAUACAUGGUACAUCAAGAAAUGCAAACCCAUCAUUUGCUACUUAUUUUCAAUUCCCACAAAGCCUAAGGACGCAGAAUUUAUGCAAAAGCGUUCUCCUGUUGGCCUUGGGCCAUCAUCAAAAACAUGACCAAGGUAAAACUUACAUUUCUGCAUACUACUUCCACCCUAAUCAUUCCAUGUGAAGCAUCUGAUAUACGUUCAACACUCUCAACAGAUGGUGAUAAUUCAAGAGUUUUGUAGAAUGAUGGCCAUCCUGAACCAGAAUCAUACUUUGUGUCAGAGCUAGAAUUUAAAAAAUCACAGAAAAAUACAAAAGUAAGUACUUGUUGAAGUAACAAAAAUCAAAACUCAUUUUACCUAAAGAGUGGAGUGUCACAACAAACACAGGUAUAAGUUCCUUUCUCGUGAUGGUCAUAAAAAUUGCCAGUAAAAGCCUUCAAAUAUAAAUUUAGUUUUGAAAUGAUUCUCAGAACUAACAAUACAAUUAGGUUUUACUAUUUCAGUGCCUUUUUCUUGAGUCACUCUGAAUUGCUGAGGUGUCAGUUUCUUUUGCAGAUCUUGACAGGAACCUUUGCCUUGGCAUGACAUGUUUCUUUGAUUAUCUAUUCAGAAAUAAAUACAAAUAAUGUUGCACUUUAAAUGCUGUUGCUUACGUAACUAAAACUUACACGUAGACGAGACUGAACAAGUUAAUCCUGCACUAGAGACCCGUUCGCAGAGCCUCACACUUUUACCUGUCCCUACAAUUCUGCUGAUUGUGCGACCAAACAUCGCUAAGCAUCUAGAAAUAAAUGUUCCAAUCACUGUAGCCAUAUGAGUUAUGUAAUCCUGAUAUCUGUAGCGUAAAUAUCUCCUGUGCAACGAUGCCUCAUUUUCUAUUACGCAGUUGAAACGUUUUAUGCAAGAAAAACAACCCUGGCCACAAAUGUUCAUUUAAUCAUACAGUAAUUCUGAUGAUUAUCUGAUCAAGAAAGUAAAUGCAAAUUUAGCGAUAUCCAAUAUGUAUUCAACAAUUGCAACACGGUCGAUACACACUGAAAAUGCCUAACCAAAUUUAAGCCUUGGCGGGAGCUGCAGGGGUAGCGGCGGCAGCAGCAGCCGGGGUCUUGGUCUUCUUGGUAGGUCCCAUAAACGAGGCCUUGUCUGCCGGAGUUUGGAAUCUUCCGUGACCGAACUUGGAA
Daphnia pulex (common water flea) is the source of this 1189-nucleotide long non-coding RNA. RefSeq lists it as uncharacterized. The record is from RefSeq and is a predicted model, not a curated record. Lineage: Eukaryota; Metazoa; Arthropoda; Branchiopoda; Diplostraca; Daphniidae. The transcript is spliced from 2 exons.